AGGAAUAUUGGUCAAUGGACGAGAGUCUGAACCAGCCAAGUAGCGUGAAGGAUGAAGGUUCUAUGGAUUGUAAACUUCUUUUAUACGGGAAUAAACGGAUCCACGUGUGGAUUUUUGCAUGUACCGUAUGAAUAAGGAUCGGCUAACUCCGUGCCAGCAGCCGCGGUAAUACGGAGGAUCCGAGCGUUAUCCGGAUUUAUUGGGUUUAAAGGGAGCGUAGAUGGGUUGUUAAGUCAGUUGUGAAAGUUUGCGGCUCAACCGUAAAAUUGCAAUUGAUACUGGCAGUCUUGAGUACAGUUGAGGUAGGCGGAAUUCGUGGUGUAGCGGUGAAAUGCUUAGAUAUCACGAAGAACUCCGAUUGCGAAGGCAGCUUACUAACCUGUAACUGACAUUGAUGCUCGAAAGUGUGGGUAUCAAACAGGAUUAGAUACCCUGGUAGUCCACACGGUAAACGAUGAAUACUCGCUGUAGGCGAUAUACAGUCUGCGGCCAAGCGAAAGCAUUAAGUAUUCCACCUGGGGAGUACGCCGGCAACGGUGAAACUCAAAGGAAUUGACGGGGGCCCGCACAAGCGGAGGAACAUGUGGUUUAAUUCGAUGAUACGCGAGGAACCUUACCCGGGCUUAAAUUGCAGCGGAAUGUAGUGGAAACAUUACAGCCUUCGGGCCGCUGUGAAGGUGCUGCAUGGUUGUCGUCAGCUCGUGCCGUGAGGUGUCGGCUUAAGUGCCAUAACGAGCGCAACCCUUAUCUAUAGUUACUAUCAGGUCAUGCUGAGGACUCUAUGGAGACUGCCGUCGUAAGAUGUGAGGAAGGUGGGGAUGACGUCAAAUCAGCACGGCCCUUACGUCCGGGGCUACACACGUGUUACAAUGGGGGGUACAGAAGGCAGCUACCUGGCGACAGGAUGCUAAUCCCUAAAACCUCUCUCAGUUCGGAUUGGAGUCUGCAACCCGACUCCAUGAAGCUGGAUUCGCUAGUAAUCGCGCAUCAGCCACGGCGCGGUGAAUACGUUCCCG
This 1016-nucleotide ribosomal RNA is filed under the name uncultured bacterium. RNAcentral describes it as "bacterial SSU rRNA". It matches the Rfam family "Bacterial small subunit ribosomal RNA", at positions 357 to 1376 of the family's 1533-position model. The record is from RNAcentral.